GCGGGCGGAGGCUACCAUGCAGUCGAACGGUAGCACAGAGAGCUUGCUCUCGGGUGACGAGUGGCGGACGGGUGAGUAAUGUCUGGGAAACUGCCUGAUGGAGGGGGAUAACUACUGGAAACGGUAGCUAAUACCGCAUAACGUCGCAAGACCAAAGAGGGGGACCUUCGGGCCUCUUGCCAUCAGAUGUGCCCAGAUGGGAUUAGCUAGUAGGUGGGGUAAUGGCUCACCUAGGCGACGAUCCCUAGCUGGUCUGAGAGGAUGACCAGCCACACUGGAACUGAGACACGGUCCAGACUCCUACGGGAGGCAGCAGUGGGGAAUAUUGCACAAUGGGCGCAAGCCUGAUGCAGCCAUGCCGCGUGUAUGAAGAAGGCCUUCGGGUUGUAAAGUACUUUCAGCGGGGAGGAAGGUGUUGUGGUUAAUAACCGCAGCAAUUGACGUUACCCGCAGAAGAAGCACCGGCUAACUCCGUGCCAGCAGCCGCGGUAAUACGGAGGGUGCAAGCGUUAAUCGGAAUUACUGGGCGUAAAGCGCACGCAGGCGGUCUGUCAAGUCGGAUGUGAAAUCCCCGGGCUCAACCUGGGAACUGCAUUCGAA
Molecule: ribosomal RNA, 600 nt
Filed under: Enterobacter ludwigii
Lineage: Bacteria; Pseudomonadati; Pseudomonadota; Gammaproteobacteria; Enterobacterales; Enterobacteriaceae
Description: bacterial SSU rRNA
Rfam family: Bacterial small subunit ribosomal RNA
Source: RNAcentral